This 650-nucleotide ribosomal RNA is filed under the name Clinostomum complanatum. RNAcentral's name for it is "SSU rRNA". It matches the Rfam family "Eukaryotic small subunit ribosomal RNA", at positions 613 to 1164 of the family's 1831-position model. Lineage: Eukaryota; Metazoa; Platyhelminthes; Trematoda; Strigeidida; Clinostomidae. The record is from RNAcentral.
CUGCAGUUAAAGCUCGUAGUUGGAUCUGGGUUGUGCGUUCACGCGCCUUUACUUGUUUAUCAGCCUUGGUAAAUGCCCUGGCUGGGUGUUCAAUUUGGUGUAGUGGGGCGUGCUGCCCUUUCAGCCGUGUCUGUGUAAACGGGUGCUGACUGGGUUGAUGAGCUUGUCUUGUUUAACCCUGUUGGCCCUGCUUCUAGAUGCCCUUUACCGGGUGUCGGGAGCCGGACGGCAUCUUUACUUUGAACAAAUUUGAGUGCUCAAAAGCAGGCCCUGUGGGCCCUGAAAAUUCUUGCAUGGAAUAAUGGAAUAGGACUUCGGUUCUAUUUUGUUGGUUUUCGGAUCCGAAGUAAUGGUUAAGAGGGACAGACGGGGGCAUUUGUAUGGCGGUGUGAGAGGUGAAAUUCUGGGAUCGCCGCCAGACAAACUACAGCGAAAGCAUUUGCCAAGAAUGUUUUCAUUGAUCAGGAGCGAAAGUCAGAGUUUCGAAGACGAUCAGAUACCGUCGUAGUUCUGACCAUAAACGAUGCCAACUGACGAUCCGCGGCAGCACUUAUAUCGGCUCCGCGGGCAGUCCCCGGGAAACCUUUAAGUCUUUGGGCUCCGGGGGAAGUAUGGUUGCAAAGCUGAAACUUAAAGGAAUGACGGAAGGC